Molecule: unclassified non-coding RNA, 345 nt
Filed under: soil metagenome
Description: partial contains 5.8S ribosomal RNA, internal transcribed spacer 2, and large subunit ribosomal RNA
Rfam family: 5.8S ribosomal RNA (bases 1-119)
Source: RNAcentral
GAUGAAGAACGCAGCGAAAUGCGAUACGUAAUGUGAAUUGCAAAUUCAGUGAAUCAUCGAGUCUUUGAACGCACAUUGCGCCCCCUGGUAUUCCGGGGGGCAUGCCUGUCCGAGCGUCAUUGCUGCCCUCAAGCACGGCUUGUGUGUUGGGCCCCGUCCUCCGAUCCCGGGGGACGGGCCCGAAAGGCAGCGGCGGCACCGCGUCCGGUCCUCGAGCGUAUGGGGCUUUGUCACCCGCUCUGUAGGCCAGGCCGGCGCUUGCCGAUCAACCCAAAUUUUUAUCCAGGUUGACCUCGGAUCAGGUAGGGAUACCCGCUGAACUUAAGCAUAUCAAUAAGCGGAGGA